Molecule: non-coding RNA, 26 nt
Filed under: Homo sapiens (human)
Lineage: Eukaryota; Metazoa; Chordata; Mammalia; Primates; Hominidae
Source: RNAcentral
UGGUCCUUGAUGAUGUAGAUGACGUA